AAACACCCGCUUCCUAAGCCUGGAUGGAAUGAUAGGGUAUGCAUAAAUGUUCAUGUGGGCUCUGGAGUAUACCAGGAACUGAAGUAAGGUACAUGGACGUCUUGAAUAUUGUAACUGAGAUGGGCAAGCCUACACCUUUGCAAAUAAAGGAGGAUUGGGAAAGAUUAAGCCUCUCAAGCACUGUGAAAAAUCACUUUCUCUUGUUGUAUUCUUGGAGCCCCUGCUAAUUCAUUAUUGAAAAAUACCUGCUGCCUGCAUUUGGCCUUAUGUUGUCAUUUACUUGGUACUUCCUAAGCGUGGCUACUCCAAUGAAGCUUUAGUAUAUGUACUGAAAGAAGAUCCUCUCAUACUGCCACAGCCAAGAGAUAAGGUUGUAAAUCUUUAUUGGGAGAAGCCGUCAAGGACAGUUCUGUGAAAUGAAAGGAUCUCUGGAUCACCACAAAGUCUGGCUCAGUGACUAUGGCUUUGCAAACACUAAACAUUCCUGUCUCAAGUCCUGUAGAUGGCUUGAAAUAGUAUACAUAAGCAUGCCUUAUAAACAUCUUCAGUCUUUAUCAACUCUUUGGAGAUUCAGCCAUUCUUUUUUG
Molecule: long non-coding RNA, 587 nt
Filed under: Homo sapiens (human)
Lineage: Eukaryota; Metazoa; Chordata; Mammalia; Primates; Hominidae
Description: HSALNT0294237
Source: RNAcentral